GGGGCCUUAGUCUGCUAUUACAAUUGUGCUCAGUGAUCGACCAUUCUGACACAAUUGUAAUAGAAGACUAAGGCCCC
Molecule: microRNA precursor, 77 nt
Filed under: Spodoptera frugiperda (fall armyworm)
Lineage: Eukaryota; Metazoa; Arthropoda; Insecta; Lepidoptera; Noctuidae
Description: microRNA sfr-mir-10454a precursor (sfr-mir-10454a-2)
Source: miRBase by way of RNAcentral